GACGAACGCUGGCGGCGUGCCUAAUACAUGCAAGUAGAACGCUGAAGGAGGAGCUUGCUUCUCUGGAUGAGUUGCGAACGGGUGAGUAACGCGUAGGUAACCUGCCUGGUAGCGGGGGAUAACUAUUGGAAACGAUAGCUAAUACCGCAUAAUAGUAGAUGUUGCAUGACAUUUGCUUAAAAGGUGCAAUUGCAUCACUACCGGAUGGACCUGCGUUGUAUUAGCUAGUUGGUGGGGUAACGGCUCACCAAGGCGACGAUACAUAGCCGACCUGAGAGGGUGAUCGGCCACACUGGGACUGAGACACGGCCCAGACUCCUACGGGAGGCAGCAGUAGGGAAUCUUCGGCAAUGGACGGAAGUCUGACCGAGCAACGCCGCGUGAGUGAAGAAGGUUUUCGGAUCGUAAAGCUCGGUUGUAAGAGAAGAACGAGUGUGAGAGUGGAAAGUUCACACUGUGACGGUAGCUUACCAGAAAGAGACGGCUAACUACGUG
RNAcentral lists this ribosomal RNA (495 nucleotides) under uncultured bacterium. RNAcentral's name for it is "partial 16S ribosomal RNA". It matches the Rfam family "Bacterial small subunit ribosomal RNA", at positions 28 to 507 of the family's 1533-position model. The record is from RNAcentral.